GGGUUUGGGUGGCACAGUGGGUAGUGCUGUUGCCUCACAUGCAAGAGGAUGUGGAUUCAAUCCCCACUCAGUCUG
This 75-nucleotide transfer RNA is filed under the name Scleropages formosus (Asian bonytongue). RNAcentral describes it as "tRNA-Val". The stretch from base 8 to 69 matches the Rfam family "tRNA", at positions 6 to 65 of the family's 71-position model. Rfam says of the family: Transfer RNA (tRNA) molecules are approximately 80 nucleotides in length. Their secondary structure includes four short double-helical elements and three loops (D, anti-codon, and T loops). Further hydrogen bonds mediate the characteristic L-shaped molecular structure. tRNAs have two regions of fundamental functional importance: the anti-codon, which is responsible for specific mRNA codon recognition, and the 3' end, to which the tRNAs corresponding amino acid is attached (by aminoacyl-tRNA synthetases). tRNAs cope with the degeneracy of the genetic code in two manners: having more than one tRNA (with a specific anti-codon) for a particular amino acid; and 'wobble' base-pairing, i.e. permitting non-standard base-pairing at the 3rd anti-codon position. Lineage: Eukaryota; Metazoa; Chordata; Actinopteri; Osteoglossiformes; Osteoglossidae. The record is from RNAcentral.